Molecule: long non-coding RNA, 1100 nt
Filed under: Macaca fascicularis (crab-eating macaque)
Lineage: Eukaryota; Metazoa; Chordata; Mammalia; Primates; Cercopithecidae
Description: lncRNA (ENSMFAG00000048246.1)
Source: RNAcentral
CUUCUGAAUAUUAGGUUUAUAACAAAAGCUCAGCCUAGAAAAAUAGCAUUCUUCACCGGAUUUUGAGGAGGAUACAGCUGUACAACUGUAGAUGUUUUCCCAGAUAUAAUCACACUACUGUGCUUACUACUCCCAUAAAAGACCUGUCCACCUAUUACUUUUUAGUAGUCAACUACUGUUUUUUAAAAUUUUGGUGGUGAUGAUAGUCAUGAUUUGGUGAAAACUUGGCUGUAACUGAAAGCAGGAAUAUGAGGGCUUAUUUUCUGUAGCCAUAUACAUGUAGUAUAAGGUGAAAUGUCACCACAGCAUGAACGUACAGUGAAACCUCAUUUUAAUAGUCACAUUAAAAGUCACAUUAGAAUAGUUUGUGGCAUGUAUAGUAUUUAUAUUUUAGGAAUCAAAGGACAAUACAUUGGUAAAUAUUUUUCUCAUACAUUAAACAUGCACGUCACUAUAAAAGCGUCUUAUGAGGUUUCACUGACAUGUUCGCAAUUGUUUAUUUUAUACAUGUAUGUAUGGACAAACACACAACGCACUGAGGAAAUUCAAGCAUGAGUGCUGGAAUCUUUUCUUAUAGUUUAUGUUCCAAUGAUAACUCUUUGUUCCUCUAUCAUUUUCAAAUGUUUCUGUGUGUGUAUAUUACAGACAUCCAUGCAAACACAGUAAUGGAACUGGUGUAUGUCGAUCUGAAUGGGCUAAGGUCCAAAGUAGUUUAAUCCAAUAACUGAAACUUCAUAGAAAUCAACGAAAAAACUUGCUCCAUGCCAAUUUAUAACUUCUGAAUUUCACUGCACUAAAGAAUGGUGUGUUAGUUUCAAAAAAUUGAGUUUAAUGUCUCAGGUGUAUCCAAGAAAAGAUACGACUCAUCUGAGUUCCUGAUAAGCCUGAGCUAAUUAUGUUUUCCACUAAUGAAAACCAAAUAAUGCUUUAAAAUAUAGAACAAAAUUUCCUAGGAGUUCAGAAUAUUCCAUAAACACAUUGACCUACUAUUAAGUUUCCAAAGGCAUCUUGUUGCCAACUACGUUAACAGCACAGUUUUUUUCUGCCACAAUAAUACAGGAGGAUUGAAAUACACUCUAACACACAACAGAUCCCCCAAA